AGUCGAACGGAAAGGCCCUGCUUGCAUGGUACUCGAGUGGCGAACGGGUGAGUAACACGUGGGUGAUCUGCCCUGCACUUCGGGAUAAGCCUGGGAAACUGGGUCUAAUACCGGAUAGGAGCCAUUUUUAGUGUGAUGGUUGGAAAGUUUUUCGGUGUAGGAUGAGCUCGCGGCCUAUCAGCUUGUUGGUGGGGUAAUGGCCUACCAAGGCGGCGACGGGUAGCCGGCCUGAGAGGGUGGACGGCCACAUUGGGACUGAGAUACGGCCCAGACUCCUACGGGAGGCAGCAGUGGGGAAUAUUGCACAAUGGGCGCAAGCCUGAUGCAGCGACGCCGCGUGGGGGAUGACGGCCUUCGGGUUGUAAACUCCUUUCGCUAGGGACGAAGCUUUUUGUGACGGUACCUAGAUAAGAAGCACCGGCUAACUACGUGCCAGCAGCCGCGGUAAUACGUAGGGUGCGAGCGUUGUCCGGAAUUACUGGGCGUAAAGGGCUCGUAGGUGGUUUGUCGCGUCGUCUGUGAAAUUCCGGGGCUUAACUCCGGGCGUGCAGGCGAUACGGGCAUAACUUGAGUACUGUAGGGGUAACUGGAAUUCCUGGUGUAGCGGUGAAAUGCGCAGAUAUCAGGAGGAACACCGAUGGCGAAGGCAGGUUACUGGGCAGUUACUGACGCUGAGGAGCGAAAGCAUGGGUAGCGAACAGGAUUA
Molecule: ribosomal RNA, 706 nt
Filed under: uncultured Actinomycetales bacterium
Lineage: Bacteria; Bacillati; Actinomycetota; Actinomycetes; Actinomycetales
Description: bacterial SSU rRNA
Rfam family: Bacterial small subunit ribosomal RNA
Source: RNAcentral